This 252-nucleotide ribosomal RNA is filed under the name uncultured bacterium. Its description in RNAcentral is "partial 16S ribosomal RNA". It matches the Rfam family "Bacterial small subunit ribosomal RNA", at positions 524 to 776 of the family's 1533-position model. The record is from RNAcentral.
UACGUAGGGGGCGAGCGUUGUCCGGAUUUAUUGGGCGUAAAGAGCUCGUAGGCGGUUUGGUAAGUCGGGUGUGAAAUCUCCACGCUCAACGUGGAGGGGCCACUCGAUACUGGCAGCUAGAGUCCGGAAGAGGUAAGUGGAACUCCUAGUGUAGAGGUGGAAUUCGUAGAUAUUAGGAAGAACACCAGUGGCGAAGGCGGCUUACUGGUCCGGAACUGACGCUGAGGUGCGAAAGCGUGGGGAGCAAACAGG